Molecule: ribosomal RNA, 253 nt
Filed under: uncultured bacterium
Lineage: Bacteria
Description: partial 16S ribosomal RNA
Rfam family: Bacterial small subunit ribosomal RNA
Source: RNAcentral
UACAGAGGGUGCGAGCGUUGUUCGGAAUUAUUGGGCGUAAAGGGCGCGUAGGCGGUGCGGUAAGUCACCUGUGAAAUCUCCUGGCUCAACUGGGAGCUUGCAGGCGAAACUGCCGUGCUGGAGUGUGGGAGAGGUGCGUGGAAUUCCUGGUGUAGCGGUGAAAUGCGCAGAUAUCGGGAAGAACACCCGUGGCGAAGGCGGCUCUCUGGGACGGUACUGACGCUGAGACGCGAAAGCGUGGGUAGCAAACAGG